RNAcentral lists this transfer RNA (58 nucleotides) under Ictidomys tridecemlineatus (thirteen-lined ground squirrel). RNAcentral's name for it is "Spermophilus tridecemlineatus (thirteen-lined ground squirrel) tRNA". It matches the Rfam family "tRNA", at positions 8 to 63 of the family's 71-position model. From Rfam's summary of the family: Transfer RNA (tRNA) molecules are approximately 80 nucleotides in length. The record is from Rfam by way of RNAcentral. Lineage: Eukaryota; Metazoa; Chordata; Mammalia; Rodentia; Sciuridae.
UAGCUCAGUUGGUAGAGUGCUUGCCUUGCAUUCAAAAGGCCCUGGGUUCCAUCCCCAG